This 391-nucleotide long non-coding RNA is filed under the name Vombatus ursinus (common wombat). Its description in RNAcentral is "lncRNA (ENSVURG00010021521.1)". Lineage: Eukaryota; Metazoa; Chordata; Mammalia; Diprotodontia; Vombatidae. The record is from RNAcentral.
CUCCGACUCUGCCCGGCGUGCGCUAGCGGCAGGGAGGAGGAGCCCCGGGCUGGGACUCCCUGGUCUUGGCUCUGCCACUUUAUGCUCUUUGACUUUGGGAAAUUCCUGUGCCUUCCUCUCUCCGGGCACUGGAUUGCCUCUUCUGUCAAACAAGGUGAUCGGGCCCCAAGGUCCUUUCCAGCUCUGACGAGCUGGAGUCCAGGUUCCCGUUCCACGACUGCUUCUUUGGGGAAUGACGAUAAUCAUCUUGCAGGCCUGCCCACAACUGAGAGAGGAAGGAAGGAAGGAAAGAAAAGAAGGGGAAAUGGAAGGGGAGGAAGAAGAGGCAUUUAAGGUAUCCCAAAUAGCUAUCACAAAAUUUAUGCACUUUACCUAUUGAACAGCCCCCUCA